This 253-nucleotide ribosomal RNA is filed under the name uncultured bacterium. RNAcentral describes it as "partial 16S ribosomal RNA". It matches the Rfam family "Bacterial small subunit ribosomal RNA", at positions 524 to 776 of the family's 1533-position model. The record is from RNAcentral.
UACGUAGGGUGCAGGCGUUAAUCGGAAUUACUGGGCGUAAAGCGUGCGCAGGCGGUUUGCUAAGACAGGUGUGAAAUCCCCGGGCUUAACCUGGGAACUGCGCUUGUUACUGGCAGGCUUGAGUGUGGCAGAGGGGGGUGGAAUUCCGCGUGUAGCAGUGAAAUGCGUAGAGAUGCGGAGGAACACCGAUGGCGAAGGCAGCCCCCUGGGUCGACACUGACGCUCAGGCACGAAAGCGUGGGGAGCAAACAGG